This 356-nucleotide unclassified non-coding RNA is filed under the name soil metagenome. RNAcentral's name for it is "partial contains 5.8S ribosomal RNA, internal transcribed spacer 2, and large subunit ribosomal RNA". The stretch from base 1 to 120 matches the Rfam family "5.8S ribosomal RNA", at positions 35 to 154 of the family's 154-position model. The record is from RNAcentral.
GAUGAAGAACGUAGCGAAAUGCGAUAAGUAAUGUGAAUUGCAGAAUUCAGUGAAUCAUCGAAUCUUUGAACGCACAUUGCGCCCGCCAGUAUUCUGGCGGGCAUGCCUGUCCGAGCGUCAUUUCAACCCUCGAACCCCUCCGGGGGGUCGGCGUUGGGGAUCGGGAACCCCUAAGACGGGAUCCCGGCCCCGAAAUACAGUGGCGGUCUCGCCGCAGCCUCUCCUGCGCAGUAGUUUGCACAACUCGCACCGGGAGCGCGGCGCGUCCACGUCCGUAAAACACCCAACUUCUGAAAUGUUGACCUCGGAUCAGGUAGGAAUACCCGCUGAACUUAAGCAUAUCAAUAAGCGGAGGA